Molecule: long non-coding RNA, 650 nt
Organism: Alligator mississippiensis (American alligator)
Lineage: Eukaryota; Metazoa; Chordata; Crocodylia; Alligatoridae
Exons: 3
Source: RefSeq, a predicted model, not a curated record
UUAGUGUCUGGACUCCAUUUAGCCAGAACCUAUAUGGAGCCUGUGCUAAAUCCUCCCUCGACAAGCUCUAGCCUAUGGAUUUUUUAAGUCAGUACGACAAAUUACAAGGGUGAAGUUUAUUGUGUGCUCCUUUUUUUGCAGGAACAUGGACAAAGCAAGUACUCAAGACAGACAAGGAACAUAGCAUUUGUUCUACUCUACAGAUGGGGAACUGAGGCAGAGACCAAAAAUAGAGGUCCAGUGGAAGGACUCCCGUUUCCUUUCAGUGAAGGCCCAGCCACAUAUGAGCUUCUGACAACAAGAUAUUGUAAAGGAAGUGCCCUCCCUACGAGAAUGAGUUCAUUUCUCACCCUCUUUGGAGCACAGUAUGUUUGUACAGGCCUUCCGGCAAUAGAAGCAACAUUUGGAACUGGGAACACAGGUGUGAAGAAACAUGCCUAAACUUAUUUGAGAGAGAGCAGAAGAAUGACCUGAGUCAUCGAAUAGGAUUGGAUGCUUAUCUUGGAUGCUUAUCUUGCUGAGAUGAUUUGACCCCAGCUGACUUCCUGCCUCUUGGGCAGGGGGAUGGACCCAAUGAUCUUGUGAGGUCCCUUCCAGCCCUAAUGUCUACUAAAUCUAUUAAAUAGAUCUCUGAUGACUAAUUCCCUGAA